RNAcentral lists this ribosomal RNA (399 nucleotides) under uncultured bacterium. Its description in RNAcentral is "bacterial SSU rRNA". It matches the Rfam family "Bacterial small subunit ribosomal RNA", at positions 362 to 776 of the family's 1533-position model. The record is from RNAcentral.
UAUUGGACAAUGGGGGGAACCCUGAUCCAGCGACGCCGCGUGAGUGAAGAAGUAUCUCGGUAGUUAAAGCUCUAUCAGCAGGGAAGAAGAAAUGACCGUACCUGAGUAAGAAGCCCCGGCUAACUACGUGCCAGCAGCCGCGGUAAUACGUAGGGGGCAAGCGUUACCCGGAAUUACUGGGUGUAAAGGGAGCGUAGACGGUGAUGUAAGUCUGGAGUGAAAGGCGGGGGCCCAACCCCCGGACUGCUCUGGAAACUAGGUGACUGGAGUGCAGAAGAGGUGAGCGGAAUUCCUUGUGUAGCGGUGAAAUGCGUAGAUAUUAGGAGGAACACCAGUGGCGAAGGCGGCUCACUGGACUGUAACUGACGUUGAGGCUCGAAAGCGUGGGGAGCAAACAGG